Molecule: ribosomal RNA, 497 nt
Filed under: uncultured bacterium
Lineage: Bacteria
Description: partial 16S ribosomal RNA
Rfam family: Bacterial small subunit ribosomal RNA
Source: RNAcentral
GACGAACGCUGGCGGCGUGCCUAAUACAUGCAAGUUGAGCGCUGAAGGUUGGUACUUGUCCCAACUGGAUGAGCAGCGAGCGGGUGAGUAACGCGUGGGGAAUCUGCCUUUGAGCGGGGGACAACAUUUGGAAACGAAUGCUAAUACCGCAUAAAAACUUUAAACACAAGUUUUAAGUUUGAAAGAUGCAAUUGCAUCACUCAAAGAUGAUCCCGCGUUGUAUUAGCUAGUUGGUGAGGUAAAGGCUCACCAAGGCGAUGAUACAUAGCCGACCUGAGAGGGUGAUCGGCCACAUUGGGACUGAGACACGGCCCAAACUCCUACGGGAGGCAGCAGUAGGGAAUCUUCGGCAAUGGACGAAAGUCUGACCGAGCAACGCCGCGGGAGUGAAGAAGGGUGUCGGAUCGUAAAACUCUGUUGGUAGAGAAGAACGUUGGUGAGAGUGGAAAGCUCAUCAAGUGACGGUAACUACCCAGAAAGGGACGGCUAACUACGUG